GAUGAACGCUGGCUACAGGCUUAACACAUGCAAGUCGAGGGGAAACGACGGGGAAGCUUGCUUCCCCGGGCGUCGACCGGCGCACGGGUGAGUAACGCGUAUCCAACCUGCCUCUGACUGAGGGAUAACCCGUCGAAAGUCGGCCUAAUACCUCAUGGUAUCGUCUGCGGGCAUCCAACGACGAUUAAAGAUUUCAUCGGUCAGGGAUGGGGAUGCGUCUGAUUAGCUUGUUGGCGGGGUAACGGCCCACCAAGGCUACGAUCAGUAGGGGUUCUGAGAGGAAGGUUCCCCACAUUGGAACUGAGACACGGUCCAAACUCCUACGGGAGGCAGCAGUGAGGAAUAUUGGUCAAUGGGCGAGAGCCUGAACCAGCCAAGUAGCGUGCAGGAAGACGGCCCUAUGGGUUGUAAACUGCUUUUAUGCGGGGAUAAAGUGAGGGACGUGUUCCUCAUUGCAGGUACCGCAUGAAUAAGGACCGGCUAAUUCCGUGCCAGCAGCCGCGGUAAUACGGAAGGUCCUGGCGUUAUCCGGAUUUAUUGGGUUUAAAGGGAGCGUAGGCCGUGGAUUAAGCGUGUUGUGAAAUGCAGGUGCUCAACGUCUGCACUGCAGCGCGAACUGGUCCACUUGAGUGUGCGCAACGCAGGCGGAAUUCGUCGUGUAGCGGUAAAAUGCUUAGAUAUGACGAAGAACUCCGAUUGCGAAGGCAGCUUGCGGGAGCACAACUGACGCUGAAGCUCGAAAGUGCGGGUAUCGAACAGG
Molecule: ribosomal RNA, 760 nt
Filed under: uncultured Prevotella sp.
Lineage: Bacteria; Pseudomonadati; Bacteroidota; Bacteroidia; Bacteroidales; Prevotellaceae
Description: bacterial SSU rRNA
Rfam family: Bacterial small subunit ribosomal RNA
Source: RNAcentral